GACGAACGCUGGCGGCGUGCCUAAUACAUGCAAGUCGAGCGAAGUUUUUCUGGUGCUUGCACUAGAAAAACUUAGCGGCGAACGGGUGAGUAACACGUAAAGAACCUGCCUCAUAGACUGGGACAACUAUUGGAAACGAUAGCUAAUACCGGAUAACAGUAUUUCUCGCAUGGGAGAUAUUUAAAAGUUGGUUGUGCUAACACUAUGAGAUGGCUUUGCGGUGCAUUAGCUAGUUGGUGGGGUAAAGGCCCACCAAGGCGACGAUGCAUAGCCGACCUGAGAGGGUGAUCGGCCACACUGGGACUGAGACACGGCCCAGACUCCUACGGGAGGCAGCAGUAGGGAAUCUUCCGCAAUGGGCGAAAGCCUGACGGAGCAACGCCGCGUGAGUGAAGAAGGAUUUCGGUUCGUAAAGCUCUGUUGUUAGGGAAGAAUGGAUAUGUAGUAACUAUACAUGUAAGAGACGGUACCUAACCAGAAAGCCACGGCUAACUACGUG
This 499-nucleotide ribosomal RNA is filed under the name uncultured bacterium. RNAcentral describes it as "partial 16S ribosomal RNA". It matches the Rfam family "Bacterial small subunit ribosomal RNA", at positions 28 to 507 of the family's 1533-position model. The record is from RNAcentral.